AAUCCUUUUUCACAUCUGUGUUUAACGUUUAUGACGAAUGAUGUUAUCGUUUCUUUGUCUCUUUUAGGUCAUCAUUAUCAGGCUUGUGGUUUAGUAUCUACGCGUAAGCACAUUCAGUUGUUGAUUUCUACGUUUAACAAGUUGUUUUAGCUCGGUUUAACGUGUACGACAAAACUAAAUUUGCGUUAUUUCUUCAACUAAAUUAAUAAAUAUAAAUAUUUUACGUAGACAAAUUUAAACUAGAAUAAUUGGAAAGGUUAACACCAUCACAAUUAAAUUUUGAGUGAAUUAAUACCUAAUGGAUGCUUGUGUAGUGUUACAUGAUCAAUUUGGAAUUUCAUGGAUCAAAAGCACUUAGGAGUACUAAAAUUUCGCAGUUUAGGGGCAUUGCCAAUACAUUUAUCUUCUCGGAAUAAUGGGAGGAGUUCCUUCGGAACGUUCCUGGUAGUCUCUUCUAACGCAAUGACAGAGAUACAGGGAGAAAAGGAGCGCAUAAUUCCUGAUUCCGAUGCCGGAAUUUACAGAAUGACGAUGUCGCCCAAUGGUCAUGCAUUGCCACCAGACACUGUUAACGAACCAAACAAAUACCACCGAAAACAGCCGGAAACUAACAGAAACUCACCUUCCAGGAAAGAACAAAGCACUCCCAUCAAACGAUCAUUUCAAAUAAACUCAUCACGAAAAUCUCCUCAGUUCUCUGCGGACGUAUCAGAUUCUCCAAUUAUCAAAAAUAAUUCUUCACCACAAGUACUUUGUUUCUUUUGCAAUUUGCUACCACCGUUAAAAGUUAUCGAAGGAUUGCAAAUGAUAUAGAGAACCGAAGUGGUAUUGAGGGUGAACGUUUGUACAACGGAUAAACAGCAGCUACCACCAACUCCUUUGCCAACGAGGAAAAAGCUCAAAGAAGAAAUCGAAUGCGAAAAGCUGUCACAAGAUCUCAUUAUGCAGUUGUCUCAUACUGUUAAGUUGAAGCGUCUCUUAGUGUCAGGUCCAAAACAUAAAAAGCCUACGAACUAUGUGAGAGGACUUUUUCGUCCUGAAGUCAUAUCCAGGUCAAAGUCAGCUAGUUCCUACUUGCGAAAUUGGAACAAUUCGCCUCCUGAUAGUAGUCCUUCUUCUUCAGUAACUUCUUCCACAGGUCAUCUACUUGUAAAAACAAGGACAUUAUAAAAGCUCUGGAGGCCAUGUGUUAUGGGGCACAUCAGUCCUUGUUCACUCCUGGAUGUAGUGGUGUCUCAAGGAAGGAUUAAUGGAAACAGAUGCUGUAUGUUGCUGUUGCUAAUGAAUGGAUUUACAAAAAUGAAUUGGGACAUUAUAAUAGCUCUGGAUAUCAUGUGCUGUGGGGCGUAUCAGUUCUUCUCGCUCCUGGAUAUAGUGGUGUCUCAGAGAAAGGAUUAAUGGAAGCAAAUGCUACAUGUUGCUGUUGCUAAUGGAAGGAUUUAUUACAAUGAAUUGGGACAUUAUAUAUAAAAGCUCUGGACGUCAUGUGUUAUGGGGCAUAUCAGUCCUUCUUUUCACUCCUUGAUAUAGUGAUGUCUGAAGGAAGGAUUAAUGGAAACAGAUGCUGUAUGUUGCUAUUGCUAAUAAAAGGAUUCAUAAAAAUGAAUUGGUAUGUACCAACACUGAUUAAGAUAGUAGA
Molecule: long non-coding RNA, 1639 nt
Organism: Agrilus planipennis (emerald ash borer)
Lineage: Eukaryota; Metazoa; Arthropoda; Insecta; Coleoptera; Buprestidae
Exons: 7
Source: RefSeq, a predicted model, not a curated record